Molecule: ribosomal RNA, 954 nt
Organism: Gorilla gorilla gorilla (western lowland gorilla)
Lineage: Eukaryota; Metazoa; Chordata; Mammalia; Primates; Hominidae
Rfam family: Bacterial small subunit ribosomal RNA
Source: Rfam
GCCGAAGCGAGUAUGGUCCUGGCCUUUCUAUUAGCUCUUAGUAAGAUUACACAUGCAAGCAUCCCCACUCCAGUGAAAAUGCCUUUUAGAUCACCCGGAUUAAAAGGAGCAAGUAUCAAGCAUGCACAAAUGCAGCUCAAAACACUUUGCUCAACCACACCCCCACGGGAAAAAGCACUGAUAAAUAUUUAGUAAUAAGUGAGACUUUAAGCUAUACUGAUAUCUAGCAUUGGUCAAUUUCAUGCCAGCCACCGCAGCCAUACGAUUAACCCAAGCUAAUUGAGCUUGGUGCAAACAGUGCUUAAGGUCUGCCCUUAAUAAAGCUAAACUCCGUCUAAGUUGUAAAAAACUCCAGCUGAAAUAAAAUAUACUAUGAAUGUGCCUUUAGUAUCCUGAAGAUGCAACAGCUAAGACCCAAACUGGGAUUAGAUACCCCACUAUGCUUACCCCUAAACUCUAAUAGUUACAUUUAAAAAAAAUUCGCCAGAAUACUACCAGCAACAGCUAAACACUCAAAGGAUUUGGUGCUGCUUUAUAUCCCUCUAGAGGAUCCUGUUCUAUAAUUAAUAAACCCUGAUAUACCUCACCACCUCUUGCCCAGCCUAUAUACCACCAUCUUCAGCAAACCCUAAAAUGGUUAUAGAGUAAGCGCAAGUGUACACAUAAAAACGUUAGGUCAAGGUGUAGCUCAUGAGGUGGCAAGAAGUAGACUACAUUUUGUAUACCCAGAAAAUCUCACAACAACCUUUAUGAAAUCGAAGGGCUCAAGGAGGAUUUAGCAGUAAACCAAGAUCAGAGUGCUUGGUUGAAUAAAGCCAUGAAGCAUGCACACCCCUCCCAUCACUCUCCUCAAAUAUUAUUCUAGAAAUUACUAAAAACUCUCUAUGCACAUAUAGAGGAGAUAAGUUGUAACAUGGUAAACAUACUGGAAAGUGUGCUUGGACAAACCAAAGU